UUUUUAUCAAAACUCAUUGAUGAUUAAUAGACAGCGAAAAGGUAUUUAGGUUGAAUAUUGUAACAGUCACUAUGAAAAAAUUGGGGGAAAUAUUUGAUGAAGAAGAUUAUGGUUUCUAGGAAGAAGAAGAAGGUUGAGGUUUGAAUAUUGAGCACAAAACUAGGUUUUUUUGGUUGAGUAUGGUGAUUAUUAGGAUGGAGAAUAAGUGUUUGGACACAAAAGAGAUGUUUUUUUUUGUUGAAGGUUGUGAUUUUGAGAUGGA
RNAcentral lists this long non-coding RNA (262 nucleotides) under Lathyrus oleraceus (garden pea). RNAcentral's name for it is "Pisum sativum (pea) long non-coding RNA (PSAT_LNC008129)". Lineage: Eukaryota; Viridiplantae; Streptophyta; Magnoliopsida; Fabales; Fabaceae. The record is from RNAcentral.